AGAUCUGUGAGCCGUGGAAAGAAGAGAGCAGAAAGAAAAGACCAUCAAGAUCAACUAAAGCGAAAGAAGUGAGCAGAGACAAAAGAGGAAUAGAAGAGACGAAAGCAGAAGAUCUAUGAGCUCUGGAAAGAAGAGAGAAGAAAGAAAAGACAUUGGAUUUGUGAUUGUUGGGGUAGGAGAAAGAAGUGGAGAGGUUGAAGAAUUUGGUCGAAGAGGUUGCUGGGUUUUGGAAGAGAUAGCUGAUGUUCACAAAAGGGAAUUUUCACGUCAUCAUCUGAGUAGAAGUUUAACAAGGUUAAAUGUCAUUUUGCAUAUCAAUUUCUACAAGACAAUCUCAGAG
This is a long non-coding RNA of Rosa chinensis, 340 nucleotides long. RefSeq lists it as uncharacterized. The record is from RefSeq and is a predicted model, not a curated record. The transcript has 4 exons. Lineage: Eukaryota; Viridiplantae; Streptophyta; Magnoliopsida; Rosales; Rosaceae.